AAAGAAAGCGUAACAGCUCACUGGUCUAAAUAAGGGUCUUUGCGCCGAAAAUGUACCGGGGCUAAAGCCAUACACCGAAGCUGUGGAUGCACGUAUGUGCGUGGUAGCGGAGCGUUCCGUAAGCCUGUGAAGGGACAGUCGUGAGACAUCCUGGAGGUAUCGGAAGUGAGAAUGCUGACAUGAGUAACGAUAAAGGGAGUGAGAGACUCCCUCGCCGAAAGUCCAAGGGUUCCUGCUUAAAGUUAAUCUGAGCAGGGUUAGCCGGCCCCUAAGGCGAGGCCGAAAGGCGUAGUCGAUGGGAACCACGUUAAUAUUCGUGGGCCUGCAGGUAGUGACGGAUUGCGUGUGUUGUCAGGUCUUAUUGGAUUGAUCUGGCAGCGAAGCGGUUCCAGGAAAUAGCUCCUGCAUAUAGACCGUACCCUAAACCGACACUGGUGGACUGGUAGAGAAUACCAAGGCGCUUGAGAGAACUGCGUUGAAGGAACUCGGCAAAAUGCACGCGUAACUUCGGAAGAAGCGUGACCCUUAUUUAGGCAACUAGAUGAGGGUGGCACAGACCAGGGGGUAGCGACUGUUUACCAAAAACACAGGGCUCUGCGAAGUCGCAAGACGACGUAUAGGGUCUGACGCCUGCCCGGUGCUGGAAGGUUAAGAGGAGAUGUGCAAGCAUUGAAUUGAAGCCCCAGUAAACGGCGGCCGUAACUAUAACGGUCCUAAGGUAGCGAAAUUCCUUGUCGGGUAAGUUCCGACCUGCACGAAUGGCGUAACGACUUCCCCGCUGUCUCCAACGCAGACUCAGUGAAAUUGAAUUCCCCGUGAAGAUGCGGGGUUCCUGCGGUUAGACGGAAAGACCCCGUGCACCUUUACUAUAGCUUUACACUGGCAUUCGUGUCGACAUGUGUAGGAUAGGUGGUAGACUUUGAAGCCGUGGCGCCAGCCAUGGUGGAGUCAUCCUUGAAAUACCACCCUUAUCUAUAUGGAUGUCUAACUGCGGCCCGUUAUCCGGGUCCAGGACCGUGUAUGGUGGGUAGUUUGACUGGGGCGGUCGCCUCCUAAAGAGUAACGGAGGCGCGCGAUGGUAGGCUCAGGCCGGUUGGAAACCGGCUGCAAGAGUGCAAUGGCAUAAGCCUGCCUGACUGCGAGACUGACAAGUCGAGCAGAGACGAAAGUCGGUCAUAGUGAUCC
RNAcentral lists this ribosomal RNA (1185 nucleotides) under bioreactor metagenome. RNAcentral's name for it is "bacterial LSU rRNA". It matches the Rfam family "Bacterial large subunit ribosomal RNA", at positions 1125 to 2421 of the family's 2925-position model. The record is from RNAcentral.